This is a long non-coding RNA of Mya arenaria, 336 nucleotides long. RefSeq lists it as uncharacterized. NCBI's taxonomy places the organism in Eukaryota, Metazoa, Mollusca, Bivalvia, Myida, Myidae. The record is from RefSeq and is a predicted model, not a curated record. The transcript has 3 exons.
AUACUGCUGUGGGUGUACAUGGACUUCUGAAGCAUCAGUGUGAUUUACCACCUGUGUGAAAGCAACAUCUCCAGCCAGAAAUAAUCAUCCAAUUCCUGAGCAGCAUGAUACCAACACACAAUAGGGGAGACAAGCGCAUUUUCAAAAAAGCAAUCUCUAGUUAGAAUAACCUUUGGUUUUGAAAGGUUAGAAUAUUUGUGGUUGGAUGGCCAUAGGUGGCAGUGACAGUCAGGGAUGGUCAGCAUACACUUAAGUGAAAAAUAAAGUCUUUCAUGCGUACUGAAAACUAACCAUGGAUACUGGAGGCUAAUAGAACCAAGCAUGGACACUGGUAAA